This 467-nucleotide ribosomal RNA is filed under the name uncultured bacterium. Its description in RNAcentral is "partial 16S ribosomal RNA". It matches the Rfam family "Bacterial small subunit ribosomal RNA", at positions 28 to 507 of the family's 1533-position model. The record is from RNAcentral.
GACGAACGCUGGCGGCGUGCUUAACACAUGCAAGUCGAACGGAAAGGCCUCUUUCGGGGGGUACUCGAGUGGCGAACGGGUGAGUAACACGUGAGUAACCUGCCCUUGACUUUGGGAUAACUUCAGUAAACUGGGGCUAACACCGGAUAGGAGCUCCUGCUGCAUGGAGGGGGUUGGAAAGUUUCGGCGGUUGGGGAUGGACUCGCGGCUUAUCCGCUUGUUGGUGGGGUAGUGGCUUACCAAGGCCUUGGCGGGUAGCCGGCCUGCGAGGGUGACCGGCCGCACUGGCACUGAGAUACGGCCCAGACUCCUACGGGUGGCAGCAGGGGGGAAUAUUGCACUAUGGGUGGAAGCCUGGUGCAGCAGCGCCGUGGGCGGGAUGACGGCCUUCGGGUUGUAAACCGCAUUCGCUCAUGACGAAGCUUUGUGUGACGGUAGUGGGUAAAGAAGCACCGGCUAACUACGUG